Molecule: long non-coding RNA, 556 nt
Organism: Lemur catta (Ring-tailed lemur)
Lineage: Eukaryota; Metazoa; Chordata; Mammalia; Primates; Lemuridae
Exons: 3
Source: RefSeq, a predicted model, not a curated record
CGGCCACUUGUCCACGAGGCCAAAAGAACGAGAACAAGCGCUCUGGACAACAAGCAGGUGGCAGAGAUCCAGCAGCCCAUAACCCCGUGGGAGGGGCUUUGCAGGGCUGGCAGAGGGGGACCUCCAGCCCCUCCAGGCUGCUGCGGGCUCCCCCCAGCCCUGUCCCGAGAUGCCGAGCAGGACCACACAGCAGGAGCUCCGCAAAUACCGGCAGAUGGAAAGGCACUAGUGUGCACUGAGAGACAGAAGGCCUGAAAGGUCUGUCCCGCGAUGUCACCACUCUCAAGAGAACUAGAAGGACCGGCCGGCGCACAGCAGGGCCGGGUAGGAGGACCGGCCGUGCCUCAGGCCCCACUUCGCUGGGGUAUUUAGGGGGCUCUCAGGCCCUCUCCGGGCUUCAGCCUCCCCCUCUGUCACUGGGACCUGGGGGGGCCCAGGUGGCUACGGGGAAGCCCAGCGCGCACUGGCGGACGCUGGGCGCCGGUCAGAGUCCGGGGGUAGAGGGGAUGGCGCUCGCGCAACAGGGCUGCAGUCCCAGGUCCCCUGGAAUGGGUGC